Molecule: ribosomal RNA, 253 nt
Filed under: uncultured bacterium
Lineage: Bacteria
Description: partial 16S ribosomal RNA
Rfam family: Bacterial small subunit ribosomal RNA
Source: RNAcentral
UACAGGGGGGGCAAGCGUUGUUCGGAAUUACUGGGCGUAAAGGGCUCGUAGGCGGCCAACUAAGUCACACGUGAAAUCCCCAGGCUUAACCUGGGAACUGCGUGUGAUACUGGAUGGCUUGAAUUCGGGAGAGGGAUGCAGAAUUCCAGGUGUAGAGGUGAAAUUCGUAGAUAUUCGCAAGAACACCAGUGGCGAAGGCGGCUCACUGGCCCGAGACUGACGCUGAGGCACGAAAGCGUGGGGAGCAAACAGG